CCCUUAGAUGUUCUGGGCCGCACGCGCGCUACACUGACGAAUGCAACGAGCUUAUAACCUUGGCCGAAAGGUCUGGGUAAUCUCCAAAUUUCGUCGUGAUGGGGAUAGAUUAUUGCAAUUAUUAAUCUUCAACGAGGAAUGCCUAGUAAGCGCAAGUCAUCAGCUUGCGUUGAUUUCGUCCCUGCCCUUUGUACACACCGCCCGUCGCUCCUACCGAUUGAAUGGUCCGGUGAAGCGUUCGGACCGUGGCCUUUGGACGGUUCGCCGUCUGUUGGCUGCGGGAAGUUCGUUAAACCUUAUCAUUUAGAGGAAGGAGAAGUCGUAACA
Molecule: ribosomal RNA, 327 nt
Filed under: uncultured eukaryote
Lineage: Eukaryota
Description: partial 18S ribosomal RNA
Rfam family: Eukaryotic small subunit ribosomal RNA
Source: RNAcentral